This 482-nucleotide ribosomal RNA is filed under the name uncultured bacterium. RNAcentral's name for it is "partial 16S ribosomal RNA". It matches the Rfam family "Bacterial small subunit ribosomal RNA", at positions 29 to 507 of the family's 1533-position model. The record is from RNAcentral.
AUUGAACGCUGGCGGCAUGCCUUACACAUGCAAGUCGAACGGUAACGGGCCUUCGGGUGCCGACGAGUGGCGUACGGGUGAGUAAUACAUCGGAACGUGCCCGAUCGUGGGGGAUAACGAGGCGAAAGCUUUGCUAAUACCGCAUACGCUCUACGGAUGCAAGCAGGGGACCGCCAGGCCUUGCGCGGCCGGAGCGGCCGAUGGCAGAUUAGGUAGUUGGUGGGAUAAAAGCUUACCAAGCCGACGAUCUGUAGCUGGUCUGAGAGGAUGGUCAGACACACUGGGACUGAGACAGGGCCCACACUCCGACAGGGGGCAGCAGUGGGGACUUUUGGAGGAGGGGCGAGAGGCGAAUCCAGCAAAGCCGCGGGAAGGAUGAAGGACUUCUGGUGGGUAACUGCUGUUGGACGGAACGAAGUACCUUCUUUUAAUACAGGAGGGUCAUGACAGUACCGGAAGAAUAAGCACCGGCUAACUACGUG